CUGACUGCGCGGGGCGCUCGGGACCUGCGCGCACCUCGGACCUUCACCACCCGCCCGGGCCGCGGGGAGCGGACGAGGGCCACAGCCCCCCACCCGCCAGGGAGCCCAGGUGCUCGGCGUCUGAACGUCUCAAAGGGCCACAGCGACAAUGACAGCUGACAAAGAGAAGAAAAGGAGUAGCUCGGAGAGAAGGAAGGAGAAGUCCCGGGAUGCUGCGCGGUGCCGGCGGAGCAAGGAGACGGAGGUGUUCUAUGAGCUGGCCCAUGAGCUGCCUCUGCCCCACAGCGUGAGCUCCCAUCUGGACAAGGCCUCCAUCAUGCGACUGGCGAUCAGCUUCCUGCGAACACACAAGCUCCUCUCCUCAGCAGUGACCUUCACCGUGAAUCCAGCUGUGAGAGGAGGGUAGGGACAGGACCAAGGAAGAACAUGGGCACCCAGAGGCUGUGGAGAACAGGGGCUGGGAGAACCAAGGACGGCUUUUGCUGACUUCUCAAUUUGUUGCCAUCUGGCCAUAAGACCCGUCCUCCACACUAGAUUGAGUCUGUAGGAAGCAUUCUAAUCUUUAACCUCCAGUGCCUUCUCCAGAACAGCAAGAAGGUGUGCCCAGAUGAUCUUUUCCCUCUGAGAAGCCAGUUAGGCCAAGCAAAUCAUUUGGUCUCUCUGAA
Molecule: small RNA, 665 nt
Filed under: Pongo abelii (Sumatran orangutan)
Lineage: Eukaryota; Metazoa; Chordata; Mammalia; Primates; Hominidae
Description: processed transcript
Source: RNAcentral